UUAACUCAGAUUUGUAUGCAGUUCGAACGUUUGCCUACGUUUGCCGCUAGGGGCGCUGUUGCAUACAAAUUUAAGUUA
This 78-nucleotide microRNA precursor is filed under the name Bombyx mori (domestic silkworm). RNAcentral describes it as "mir-2807 microRNA precursor family". It matches the Rfam family "mir-2807 microRNA precursor family". The record is from Rfam by way of RNAcentral. Lineage: Eukaryota; Metazoa; Arthropoda; Insecta; Lepidoptera; Bombycidae.